AUGUACCACGCGUAAAAUCCGGUUCUGCGCGCCCGCACCCAUCUGACGAUCGCUGGCUACGUUGUAUUAGCC
RNAcentral lists this small RNA (72 nucleotides) under Xanthomonas vasicola. Its description in RNAcentral is "sX9 sRNA". It matches the Rfam family "Xanthomonas sRNA sX9". The record is from RNAcentral. Lineage: Bacteria; Pseudomonadati; Pseudomonadota; Gammaproteobacteria; Lysobacterales; Lysobacteraceae. RNAcentral also lists the same sequence under 2 other names.